This 75-nucleotide transfer RNA is filed under the name Bacillota bacterium. RNAcentral describes it as "tRNA-Val". It matches the Rfam family "tRNA". Rfam says of the family: Transfer RNA (tRNA) molecules are approximately 80 nucleotides in length. Lineage: Bacteria; Bacillati; Bacillota. RNAcentral also lists the same sequence under 3 other names. The record is from RNAcentral.
GGAGUUAUAGCUCAGCGGGAGAGCACUUGCUUGACGUGCAAGGGGUCCUGGGUUCAAUCCCCAGUAACUCCACCA